Sphaerodactylus townsendi is the source of this 488-nucleotide long non-coding RNA. RefSeq lists it as uncharacterized. The record is from RefSeq and is a predicted model, not a curated record. The transcript has 4 exons. NCBI's taxonomy places the organism in Eukaryota, Metazoa, Chordata, Lepidosauria, Squamata, Sphaerodactylidae.
GGAACAAAGUUGUGAACUGAAGAUGAUUGAAUAAAUUUUUUAUGUUUUCUACACAUUGGGCCCAUGGAAUUUGUAAGCAGGUAGCUACAAGGAGAAUUUAAACGGUGAUUCUGCACAACAUAAUCACAUUGUUACAAAAUUGUGAUCAUAAGAAGAAAAAAGGAUCACUUUGGCUGCAAAGAGGAAAGCAGUGAUGAAAACAUGCCUCCUUCCAGGAAACAACUAGUAUCAUUCAAGAAUGCUGAGCAGGUGAACACAAUAAUUAAUUAGGCUGAGAAAAACAAGCUGCUUUGAAAACAAGAGAUGGCAUCUAUCUAGUUCCAGUCCUAGACCCUGGAGAUGUUGGGGAUGAACAUAGGACCUUCUGUAGCCAAAAGGAUUCUCUACCAUCAAGUCAUGGCCCUGCCCCUUUAAAAAGUUCUUGGCCUCCUUUAUUAUUUGCUAUUGAAGCUAUUUUUUAUGAGACCAAUUAAAAACUCCAAAAAGCA